UCUAGGUGUGCCAUUUUCUUU
RNAcentral lists this non-coding RNA (21 nucleotides) under Arabidopsis thaliana (thale cress). The record is from RNAcentral. Lineage: Eukaryota; Viridiplantae; Streptophyta; Magnoliopsida; Brassicales; Brassicaceae.